Epinephelus moara (kelp grouper) is the source of this 605-nucleotide long non-coding RNA. RefSeq lists it as uncharacterized. The record is from RefSeq and is a predicted model, not a curated record. NCBI's taxonomy places the organism in Eukaryota, Metazoa, Chordata, Actinopteri, Perciformes, Serranidae. The transcript has 3 exons.
AUGCGCAAAAGGCUUUUCAUUAUGAUACGGCUCGGUCUGUUUUCUAAAAAGUUAGCUUUCACAUUUUCAAACUCUUAAAUUGAAUGACUACAUUUUUGUAUGUGGUUACAUACGACUUGCAUGGACGGAUCAUGAGACAAUGGACCCCUGGGCACAGAUAUGCAAAGAGCCCCACCACCUCUCCUGCAUAGGAGCAAGACACACCUUUGUUGUGGGGGCAGAACUCCACUUCAGGCAAAAAAUCUUCAUCCAUUGUUCCUCCUGAGACCCAGAAAAAAAAAGUUUUAAUGUUUUACUAUACAAUUUAAGUCAUUGGUAGGUAAGUCACAUAAUACAAUGCUCUCUUUAAUCAUUUAUUUAUGUUUUAUAACAUGUCCCUUGUAGUAGACAUUGGGUCAAUCUUUUCCAAAAAAAAGCCUAGAAAUGGUUAGGACAGACUAGAAAAGUACUAUAAUCGGUCAAGGUAAACUCACACACACUCAUGGAAACCUAGUCUGUAUGACACUGUCAUACAGACUAGACAGUUCAUCAAGAUUAAUAAGAUGGGAAAUGACUAACACAUAAAGUUGUAUCAGAAAUUAUCCAUGAUUAGUGAUUGAUGAUAU